Hyaena hyaena (striped hyena) is the source of this 69-nucleotide small nucleolar RNA. RefSeq annotates it as small nucleolar RNA SNORD2. The record is from RefSeq and is a predicted model, not a curated record. The transcript has a single exon. NCBI's taxonomy places the organism in Eukaryota, Metazoa, Chordata, Mammalia, Carnivora, Hyaenidae.
AGGUGCCCCGAUGGCAAUCAUCUCUUGGGACUGAUGUGCAAAGAAGAGAAUACUCAUUGCCUAUCACAU